Molecule: ribosomal RNA, 92 nt
Filed under: Patescibacteria group bacterium
Lineage: Bacteria
Description: partial 23S ribosomal RNA
Source: RNAcentral
AAGCAUAUAGUGGAUGCCUUGGCUUGUUUGGACUAAGAAGGACGCACUAGACCGCGAAAGUCGUCGGGGAGCUGCCAAGAAGCUACGAUCCG